Molecule: RNA transcript, 3949 nt
Organism: Musa acuminata AAA Group (dessert banana)
Lineage: Eukaryota; Viridiplantae; Streptophyta; Magnoliopsida; Zingiberales; Musaceae
Gene name: inositol-tetrakisphosphate 1-kinase 1-like
Exons: 4
Source: RefSeq, a predicted model, not a curated record
AGAAGCCCCAACCUCGGUUCGUCGCCCUCCUCCCCUUUAGUAUAGCUCCCUCACUGUCUAACUGCUUCCGUGCUUCUCAUCUCUUUGGUGUUGGGUGCGCGAGAACAGAGAAAGAACCCUAAUCGUUCGUCGCUUCUCUUCAUGUUCUGCUCUUGGCAAUCGGAGAUCGAGGAGGAAUUCGACGAGUUUGCUGAGAUUCCGAGAUAACCAUGGCGGGAAACCCUCGGAGGUUCACUGUAGGUUACGCUCUCGCUCCCAAGAAGCAGCAGAGCUUCAUCCAGCCCUCGCUUGUCGAACUCGCACGCCGGCGAGGCAUCGAUCUCGUCCCCAUCGACGGCACCCGGCCCCUCGCCGAACAGGGACCCUUUGAUUGCUUGCUCCACAAACUCUACGGCGAGGAUUGGAAGGCCCAGCUUGACGAUUUCGCCACCAGGAACCCUGGCGUCCCCAUUGUCGACCCUCCCCUCGCCAUCGAGCGCCUCCACAACCGCAUCUCCAUGCUUCAGGUCGUCUCCGAGCUCGAGAUUCCCCAGAACAGGGAGACCUUCGGGAUCCCAAGCCAGGUCGUGAUCUAUGAUUCCGGCACCCUCUCCAACUCCGGCGUCGUCGGGGCCCUCCGUUUCCCCGUCAUUGCUAAGCCCCUGGUGGCCGAUGGCAGUGCUAAGUCUCAUAAGAUGUCCCUUGUUUUCCACCGGGAUGCCCUCCUAAAACUCAAACCGCCGCUGGUGCUGCAGGAGUUUGUGAACCAUGGCGGGGUUAUCUUCAAGGUGUAUGUAGUGGGGGAUUACGUUCAGUGCGUGAAGAGGAAGUCUCUUCCGGAUGUCUCCGAAGAGAAGUUGGAGUGUUCCGAGGGGUCGGUCACCUUUUCGCAGGUGUCAAACAUGACGACACAGGACCCAACGGAGGUAGAGUAUUACAUGCAUCUGGAUGAGGCAGAGAUGCCUCCGUUGAGCUUUGUCACCGAGAUAGCGAAGGGUUUGAGGCAGGCGAUGGGACUGUGCCUUUUCAAUUUUGACGUGAUCAGGGAUGUGAAGGUCGGAAACCAUUACGUUGUGAUCGACAUUAAUUAUUUUCCCGGGUAUGCGAAGAUGCCAUGUUAUGAAAACGUCUUAACGGAUUUCUUCUGGAAUAUCGUUCAUGAGAACAAAGGACAAGAUGCUGAAGUCUCGGCCAUCAGCAGCAACGACAAAGAUAGUAAGCUUUUGGUUGGCAAUCACUGCAAGAUGGCAGAAGAUAUGGAGAACGAUGGAUGAGGUUCGCGAAGCUGCCUUUCUUUUAGAAAUCUGAUUUUACUUGAGUACUUGAAAGGUACAAUUUGCACUUCUCUGCAAACUAAGAUGAUCUAAGCAUUAUGAAUAUGGCUGCAUGCUGUGGACUUGGCUGAAUAAGUAGGUUGGGCAUAGGCGUUUCUAACUUUGUGACGAGUUUAUUUGGUUCUUACAUUGACAAUGUACAUCCUUCAUUUUGUGGCAAUAAUUAGUCACACAUCCUUCUAACAUGCGUCAACUGGACAAUUAGAAGUGUAUGGUCUGUGGUUUUUUCAAAAGGAUUACAUUCUGAUUCCAAUCAAUCAGGCAUCUGUAGUACAUAAAAAGCAAAGGCUGCCAAACCAAGGAGCCACUUCGGAUGGUGAAAUGCUUGAUGGUUAAAUAGUGAAGUACCAACCAUUGAUCGAUGAAGCAGCCAAAGCAAUGCUAAGGCAGAUACUAAAGAUGACUAUGCUAGAAUCUUUGAUCAAUUUGGAUAAUCAUUUGAUAGAGAACUUCCAGUCUCUGUCUGAAACAUUUGAAAGGUACUUCAAGUCAGAGUUCUCACAUUAAACUAAUCAGAAGUCCCUACAAAUUCUGGAAUUUGGUCUUGUGCCUGCAAGCUCUGGUUUUUCAGCUGUUCCCUCAGAUUCAGCUGAAUUUGGUGAGUCUACUGCAGCGGUAGCAGAAAUGAUUGGAACAGUUAAAUUGAGCAACAUAGGAGUGUUAUCUGCAGUUCCAGGGUACAUUGCCCCAUCUACGAUACUAUUGACAUUCCAGUUGGGAAUCUGGUGGUGGAUUUGCCAUAGAAUUUGUAUGUUGGUGCAUGUGUCAGAGAAUUUGUAUGUCAAUCCACUGACAUUAGAUGAGGCAAUGCGUCUUGAGAUAGAUGAUUUUUUGGCACAUACCGAUAUUAACUUUCAUGAUGAUGAAGAGAAACUCCCUGACAUUAUGUAUGCAUUUUGAUAGUGGUUAUUCACGUCUAGCCCUCUGUCAAGUCCAGCUUACAGGGAGCAAUGUGCAGAAGCCUCAUUGAAUGAUACUCUAACAUAUGGAUCAUCUUACACAUAGAUGGGGCUUCUUUCAUCAGACACCAAUAUUUAGUAUGGUAUUUGCCUCUCUCUCGUUGCCUCUAGUUACUCUGGGAGCACCCUUGACAGCAGUCUAUUUUGCUACCAAAUGUCCUGCCUCCUUUAAUAUUCUAUAUAGUUCUAAAAAAUUCGUCACUAGCUUGUCUGAUUGAUGCCUCUGUGUUUUCACAUGAAGCUUUUUUAGAGUGGAACUUUUGCUUGAGAUGGCUUUCAUAUAUCUGGUUUGUGUAAAAGUCCAUUGCUUGAGCACCAGGUUGAUUUUUUGUUCCUACUGUUCUAAUCUCUUGAGUCUAAUUAAGAGGACGAUCUGGAGUUUGGUUUACGAUAAAAUGUAAUCAGAAACUAGUGAAAUUGCCCACUUCGAUUUGGUUCAAUACACCACAUAUUGAACACGAUGUGGUACAUGUUUAGUUGAACUUUGGUUGACUGGUUUGUUGCUAUAUUCAAAGACCUCAGUGUUCUCGUGAUAUGAUAAAUUGAUUUGAUUCAAGCAUGGGUUUCGAUUUGAGAGCGUUUAGUUCUUCUCGAAUUGAUUGUUGUAGACUACACCGUACAUAAGAUCGAUAAUCGACAUAUAGCUUUUAUAUGGUACGGUGAAAGCGAGAAGGCUGAUUCCUACUAUCCUUUACGUUAUUAAUGGUGAAUCUAAGUUAGUAUUUAUUAUCUAUAUUAUCUCUCAGCAUUAUAUAAAAUCAUUGGUAGUUGCUACUAAUUGCUGGUAAAUUGUAAUACUAAUGAAGAUUAUUUUGAGCCCAGAGAAAAAAUUUCAGCCUAGUAAGGUUAGAUCGAGUAUAACAGUUUUGGGCUUUUUUUUUUUGUUAUUAAAGUCGCGAUCUGGACCGUAGGUUCGCCCGAUGUAUGGCUCAGAUCAAGCUUGACGAGCCGGGCUCAUCACUAAACCGGGUUGCUUAUCGGCUCGGGUCGACUCGGGUAAACUGCCGACUCUAGUUUCCGAGUCGAUUCUAGCGGGUUCUUAUAAAAGGUCAAAAAAAAAAAAAACAUAAAGAAAAAGAAAAGGCCUCCACACGCGACGCGACUCGACCGGCGUUUUUGGCUGCCGUCGGACGAGACGGCUCCCCUCUGCAACUGCGAAGGUCGCUUCCCCUCUGCCGCUGACGAAGGCGACCAUCUAUCCUCUGCCACUGUCCCGGGCACCUCAUCCAUCUGAGGGCAUUUGUACAAUUAGAAUGGCAAAAGGAUUAGUAUGGCAACUACUGAAGACUUGGCAAGGAACCUAGCAAAGGUUUUGUCAUUGUACCAUCAAAUCUUGAGAAGCCUCAACCCCCCAGAACUCCUACUUACCCAUGCUGCUCGUCUUGCCAAGAAAGCAGAGGUCCACAGCAUCUUCUUGUUCGGAGCUGAAGAACGUUCUCUUCGCAACAUUGCUGACCUCAUUGAUGCUGCUAAUUACUCCCUUUCCAUCCUUAAGCAGGGUCGCCUCCCAUAGUAUACAAAUGUUGAUAGGAACUCUUGUUUGCCCUCUCACACUAAUCCUUGGAACUGUCUAUCGUAUUGCUUCAUUGUAUUAUGACCUUUGAAGUGAAACUUGUUAAAAUAUGCACUUUAGUGAGGAUUGUUAACCUGGAUAUCAUUUAUGCUUUGUUGCAGAUC